Long non-coding RNA from Felis catus (domestic cat), 1554 nucleotides. RefSeq lists it as uncharacterized. The record is from RefSeq and is a predicted model, not a curated record. The transcript has 2 exons. NCBI's taxonomy places the organism in Eukaryota, Metazoa, Chordata, Mammalia, Carnivora, Felidae.
GCAGAACCCGGCAUCCGCUACGAUUAACCAGCUCAUCGGCGGAUAAAGUACCACCAACCCCCCACCCCACUCCCUCUCCCACUCGAGGUGGCAGAAGGUUACUGAAAUUUGGUGUGCAAGAUAACAGACUUCACAUAUGUCAAGUGUUGCUUCAGAUCCUUGGCAAUCAGUGUUGCAGACCCACCUAAAUGUACCAAGAAUUACCAUCUUUUUGAAAAAUCUGAAGAACAUUUUUCCUUUUGCAUAAACCUUCAUGCUGUGCGAACCCUUCAUUUUUAGUAUUUCACAGCAACAGACUUUAAUAAAGAUAGCCAAAGUACAACUACCUCUGUCAACAUUAAGUUGAUAGAAACACAGCAAAUACGUUGGGAAUGACCAGAUCACAAGGAAGCCUUCCUCCCGGGAGGAAGGAGCACGAGGGCCGAGGGAAGAGAAGCAAAAAGAAAAUGGAAUUGGCAGUGAAAAGGACAUGUCUCCAUCGGUUGCCUAAACUAACAACUCUCCCAAACUAACAACUCUCAUUCAAAAACCAUCCGUGAGUCAGUGACAAACAUAUACUAAAAUAAAUCUAAAUUAAUGUGGAGAAAUUGACCAUUCCCAUGUCUUAAACCUUAGCAAUAAAACAAAAGAGGAUGAAUAGAGUGAGGUCUAAAAUUAAGAAGGUUAUGGAAGAGGGAUAUGAAAUAUGAGGGAAGUUAGCCAUUAAGUAUAUUUGAAUUUAGGUAGUAGAGUGUUUUGUUGCUAAGAGCCGAAGUUUCCAUGCUGUCCCAAGAGGCACUAAGCUUAGAUAGUAGGACAUUCAUUGAAUUCAACAAAUUCAUUCUUGAGUGCUCAAUUUUAAUGGAAAUGUCCAUAUUGUUGUGCCUGUGGUUGCUACUAUUCCUUCCAUGGGAGUUAUCCAUCAAGGGAAUACAGACCAAAAUGAUGAAUUUGCUUUUUGCAUGGGGUGGAUACACUGGGACUGCAUUCCGUAGGAUGGAUGAAAAUUUACCCUCUACCAGACAAAUGCUUCCAAGUUGCCCAGGAUUAAAAUCUGGAGGCCAUGGGAACUGUCUAAACCAUCUUUGUUGUUGAGUAUUGCAUAAAGCUGAUGAUAACCUGCAUAUCGAGAAUUCUAGCUGCAACUGGGCCUUCCAGUUAAAACCAGCAAUUGACAUUGCUUUCAGAAAAUAGGAAGUCAAAGUAGACUUCAGAGAACCAAGUGUGACACACUUGAUCUACUCAAUCUCAGGAGAGGUCAUCAAUCCUAAACCAUUCUGAAAAUGCAAGUAUUAGGUUCAUUCAGCAAGCUGGCUUGAGCAACUCCUCCCUACUGGGCAUUGUUGUAGGUGUUAGGAAUGAGGCAUUAAACCAUCGGAGCCUCUCCCUCUCCCUGGAUGCUUGCAUUACAGAGAAGACUUCCUUCUUGGCUGCAGUUCUGGAUGGCACGGGUGGAGGAGGAGUUGGCAACUAUGGAAAUUGCACACUUGCUGCGUUAUCUGAACGUGAAAUCAACCCCAAAUCCAAACAUAACAUUGUGAACCAAUUAGAGCAUAAACAAAGCUUUACAAUCCA